CUCAGUCACACACUUUUACGUGUUUUUUCCCGUCAUGUGUGUGAGGCGAGGUCGGUGCCUCAGUGUAACCACAACAGUGAAAAGUACUGCCACUACCAUACCGGGGUCCUGCCGCUGCCAUACCGAGGUACUGCCACUGCCAUACCGGGGUCCUGCCGCUGCCAUACCGAGGUACUGCCACUGCCAUACCGGGGUACGGCCACUACCAUACCGAGGUACUGCCACUGCCAUACCGGAGUACUGCCACUACCAUACCGAGGUACUGCCACUGCCAUACCGGGGUACGGCCACUACCAUACCGAGGUACUGCCACUGCCAUACCGGGGUCCUGCCGCUGCCAUACUGGGGAACUGACACUGCCAUACCGGGGUACUGCCACUGCCAUACCGAGGUACUGCCACUGCCAUACCGGAGUACUGCCACUGCCAUACCGGGGUACUGCCACUGCCAUACCGGAGUUCCACUGCCAUACAGGGGUACUGCCGCUGCCAUAUCGGGGUACUGCCGCUGCCAUACCGGGGUACUGCCGCUGCCAUACCGGAGUACUGCCACUGCCAUACCGGGGUACUGCCGCUGCCAUACCGGAGGUGUUAUUAUGGGCAUUCCAGGUUGCUGAGGAAAAUUUCCACCAAAAUAUAGCAUAAGAUAUCUGAGUAACAAGAUGUAUGGAAGCACAUGGACCAGACGUGACUGUGUAUAAAACAAAGCAGCUCCCUCAAGCCAGAGAGAGAGUCAAGUCAGCACAUUGCCACCAUUUUGUGAACACCAUCCCAGGAACACCUCUAUAAUGGGUCCACACCAGGCUAUGUUAUUACAACUAAUAAGCUAUAAGCAUAUCAUGUAGCGUGACCAGGACUUGCCUCUCAGCUCAAGUGUGUGACAGUCAACCAGGAUGUCCACAAGAUCUCGGACGCCUCUAAUUGCCAUAGUUGUGUUGUUUAGUCUUUUGUCUACACUCCUUCUAAGCAAUACGAGCUUCUUCCUCGGCCUCCAGAGACCUGGACCUCGAAGCCCUAAGGAGCAGGACGAGUUGGAGACACUCAGACGACAGCUUCACGGCAGAGUCGAACGACACCUCGUAAACGGGAGAAUUAAAGUGAACAUGAGCGGUCCUCAUUGGAGGCUGUGGCGUACAGAUGUUCCUGGGAGCCUUUGUGUCAACUAUGAGACUAGGUGAGGGAGACAGAGAGAGAGAGAGACAGACAGACAGAGAGAGGAGAGAGAGAGACAGACAGACACAGAAAGCCUUUGACAUACCAAAAUAAUGGAGAGGUUCGGAAAGACAUUUCAUACAUUUUUUUACAUAAUACAGAUACUAAUAUUAACUUGGAUCCGAUAACAAGUAAUCUUGAUAUUCUCUCACAAUAAUUACUUAUUUUCAUGAUUCGGAUCAGGAUUCUUUUUUAAUGUAUUGG
Molecule: non-coding RNA, 1415 nt
Organism: Procambarus clarkii (red swamp crayfish)
Lineage: Eukaryota; Metazoa; Arthropoda; Malacostraca; Decapoda; Cambaridae
Source: RefSeq, a predicted model, not a curated record